This 73-nucleotide transfer RNA is filed under the name Brachybacterium kimchii. RNAcentral's name for it is "Brachybacterium sp. CBA3104 tRNA-Thr". It matches the Rfam family "tRNA". Rfam says of the family: Transfer RNA (tRNA) molecules are approximately 80 nucleotides in length. Their secondary structure includes four short double-helical elements and three loops (D, anti-codon, and T loops). Lineage: Bacteria; Bacillati; Actinomycetota; Actinomycetes; Micrococcales; Dermabacteraceae. The record is from RNAcentral.
GCCCUGGUGGCGCAAUCGGUAGCGCAGCCGUCUUGUAAACGGCAGGGUGCCGGUUCGAUCCCGGCCGAGGGCU